This 869-nucleotide ribosomal RNA is filed under the name Staphylococcus aureus. Its description in RNAcentral is "partial 23S ribosomal RNA". It matches the Rfam family "Bacterial large subunit ribosomal RNA", at positions 1329 to 2193 of the family's 2925-position model. The record is from RNAcentral. Lineage: Bacteria; Bacillati; Bacillota; Bacilli; Caryophanales; Staphylococcaceae.
CCCGUCCACCGAUUGACUAAGGUUUCCAGAGGAAGGCUCGUCCGCUCUGGGUUAGUCGGGUCCUAAGCUGAGGCCGACAGGCGUAGGCGAUGGAUAACAGGUUGAUAUUCCUGUACCACCUAUAAUCGUUUUAAUCGAUGGGGGGACGCAGUAGGAUAGGCGAAGCGUGCGAUUGGAUUGCACGUCUAAGCAGUAAGGCUGAGUAUUAGGCAAAUCCGGUACUCGUUAAGGCUGAGCUGUGAUGGGGAGAAGACAUUGUGUCUUCGAGUCGUUGAUUUCACACUGCCGAGAAAAGCCUCUAGAUAGAAAAUAGGUGCCCGUACCGCAAACCGACACAGGUAGUCAAGAUGAGAAUUCUAAGGUGAGCGAGCGAACUCUCGUUAAGGAACUCGGCAAAAUGACCCCGUAACUUCGGGAGAAGGGGUGCUCUUUAGGGUUAACGCCCAGAAGAGCCGCAGUGAAUAGGCCCAAGCGACUGUUUAUCAAAAACACAGGUCUCUGCUAAACCGUAAGGUGAUGUAUAGGGGCUGACGCCUGCCCGGUGCUGGAAGGUUAAGAGGAGUGGUUAGCUUCUGCGAAGCUACGAAUCGAAGCCCCAGUAAACGGCGGCCGUAACUAUAACGGUCCUAAGGUAGCGAAAUUCCUUGUCGGGUAAGUUCCGACCCGCACGAAAGGCGUAACGAUUUGGGCACUGUCUCAACGAGAGACUCGGUGAAAUCAUAGUACCUGUGAAGAUGCAGGUUACCCGCGACAGGACGGAAAGACCCCGUGGAGCUUUACUGUAGCCUGAUAUUGAAAUUCGGCACAGCUUGUACAGGAUAGGUAGGAGCCUUUGAAACGUGAGCGCUAGCUUACGUGGAGGCGCUGGU